GACGGUGUAGCUCAGUGGUAGAGUGCAUGCUUAACAUGCACGAGGUCCUGGGUUAAAUCCCCAGCACCUCCU
This 72-nucleotide transfer RNA is filed under the name Camelus bactrianus (Bactrian camel). It matches the Rfam family "tRNA". Rfam says of the family: Transfer RNA (tRNA) molecules are approximately 80 nucleotides in length. Their secondary structure includes four short double-helical elements and three loops (D, anti-codon, and T loops). Further hydrogen bonds mediate the characteristic L-shaped molecular structure. tRNAs have two regions of fundamental functional importance: the anti-codon, which is responsible for specific mRNA codon recognition, and the 3' end, to which the tRNAs corresponding amino acid is attached (by aminoacyl-tRNA synthetases). tRNAs cope with the degeneracy of the genetic code in two manners: having more than one tRNA (with a specific anti-codon) for a particular amino acid; and 'wobble' base-pairing, i.e. permitting non-standard base-pairing at the 3rd anti-codon position. RNAcentral also lists the same sequence under 3 other names. The record is from Rfam by way of RNAcentral. Lineage: Eukaryota; Metazoa; Chordata; Mammalia; Artiodactyla; Camelidae.